UUUUCAUCAGACAAUCUGUGUGAGCACUGCAAAGUACGCUUCUUUAAGGUAAGGAGGUGAUCCAACCGCAGGUUCCCCUACGGUUACCUUGUUACGACUUCACCCCAGUCAUGAAUCACAAAGUGGUAAGCGCCCUCCCGAAGGUUAAGCUACCUACUUCUUUUGCAACCCACUCCCAUGGUGUGACGGGCGGUGUGUACAAGGCCCGGGAACGUAUUCACCGUGGCAUUCUGAUCCACGAUUACUAGCGAUUCCGACUUCAUGGAGUCGAGUUGCAGACUCCAAUCCGGACUACGACGCACUUUAUGAGGUCCGCUUGCUCUCGCGAGGUCGCUUCUCUUUGUAUGCGCCAUUGUAGCACGUGUGUAGCCCUGGUCGUAAGGGCCAUGAUGACUUGACGUCAUCCCCACCUUCCUCCAGUUUAUCACUGGCAGUCUCCUUUGAGUUCCCGGCCGGACCGCUGGCAACAAAGGAUAAGGGUUGCGCUCGUUGCGGGACUUAACCCAACAUUUCACAACACGAGCUGACGACAGCCAUGCAGCACCUGUCUCACGGUUCCCGAAGGCACAUUCUCAUCUCUGAAAACUUCCGUGGAUGUCAAGACCAGGUAAGGUUCUUCGCGUUGCAUCGAAUUAAACCACAUGCUCCACCGCUUGUGCGGGCCCCCGUCAAUUCAUUUGAGUUUUAACCUUGCGGCCGUACUCCCCAGGCGGUCUACUUAACGCGUUAGCUCCGGAAGCCACGCCUCAAGGGCACAACCUCCAAGUAGACAUCGUUUACGGCGUGGACUACCAGGGUAUCUAAUCCUGUUUGCUCCCCACGCUUUCGCACCUGAGCGUCAGUCUUUGUCCAGGGGGCCGCCUUCGCCACCGGUAUUCCUCCAGAUCUCUACGCAUUUCACCGCUACACCUGGAAUUCUACCCCCCUCUACAAGACUCAAGCCUGCCAGUUUCGAAUGCAGUUCCCAGGUUGAGCCCGGGGAUUUCACAUCCGACUUGACAGACCGCCUGCGUGCGCUUUACGCCCAGUAAUUCCGAUUAACGCUUGCACCCUCCGUAUUACCGCGGCUGCUGGCACGGAGUUAGCCGGUGCUUCUUCUGCGGGUAACGUCAAUUGCUGCGGUUAUUAACCACAACACCUUCCUCCCCGCUGAAAGUACUUUACAACCCGAAGGCCUUCUUCAUACACGCGGCAUGGCUGCAUCAGGCUUGCGCCCAUUGUGCAAUAUUCCCCACUGCUGCCUCCCGUAGGAGUCUGGACCGUGUCUCAGUUCCAGUGUGGCUGGUCAUCCUCUCAGACCAGCUAGGGAUCGUCGCCUUGGUGAGCCGUUACCUCACCAACAAGCUAAUCCCAUCUGGGCACAUCUGAUGGCAAGAGGCCCGAAGGUCCCCCUCUUUGGUCUUGCGACGUUAUGCGGUAUUAGCCACCGUUUCCAGUAGUUAUCCCCCUCCAUCAGGCAGUUUCCCAGACAUUACUCNNNNNNNNNNNNNNNNNNNNCCCGUCCGCCACUCGUCAGCAAAGCAGCAAGCUGCUUCCUGUUACCGUUCGACUUGCAUGUGUUAGGCCUGCCGCCAGCGUUCAAUCUGAGCCAUGAUCAAACUCUUCAAUUUAAAAGUUUGAUGCUCAAUGAAUUAAACUUCGUAAUGAAUUACGUGUUCACUCUUGAGACUUGGUAUUCAUUUUUCGUC
This 1688-nucleotide ribosomal RNA is filed under the name Salmonella enterica subsp. enterica serovar Paratyphi A. RNAcentral's name for it is "16S ribosomal RNA". The record is from RNAcentral. Lineage: Bacteria; Pseudomonadati; Pseudomonadota; Gammaproteobacteria; Enterobacterales; Enterobacteriaceae.